Molecule: ribosomal RNA, 460 nt
Filed under: uncultured bacterium
Lineage: Bacteria
Description: partial 16S ribosomal RNA
Rfam family: Bacterial small subunit ribosomal RNA
Source: RNAcentral
CCUACGGGAGGCAGCAGUGAGGAAUAUUGGUCAAUGGGCGGAAGCCUGAACCAGCCAAGUCGCGUGCAGGAUGACGGCUCUAUGGGUUGUAAACCGCUUUUGCACGGGGAUAACACCCUCCACUUGUGGAUGUCUGCAGGUACCGUACGAAUAAGGGCCGGCUAACUCCGUGCCAGCAGCCGCGGUAAUACGGAGGAUCCAAGCGUUAUCCGGAUUUAUUGGGGUUAAAGGGUGCGUAGGCGGGCGGUUAAGUCAGCUGUGAAAUCCGGGGGCUCAACCUCCGAAUUGCCGUUGACACUGGACGCCUUGAGUGCAGUUGAGGUAGGCGGAAUGUGUGGUGUAGCGGUGAAAUGCUUAGAGAUCAUGAGGAACCCCGAUUGCGAAGGCAGCUUACCAAGCUACGACUGACGCUGAGGCACGAAGGCGUGGGGAGCAAACAGGAUUAGAUACCCCGGUAGUC